Molecule: long non-coding RNA, 326 nt
Filed under: Spirodela polyrhiza (greater duckweed)
Lineage: Eukaryota; Viridiplantae; Streptophyta; Magnoliopsida; Alismatales; Araceae
Description: long non-coding RNA (SPOL_LNC000338)
Source: RNAcentral
GAUCCCUGAUAGAGCUCCGUACGUCGUCAUAGCUCAAGACGAGAGGUAGGUGCGGCCCAGCGUCGAUCUUCGCUUCAGGAAUGAGAGUUCGAGGGCAUUCCGAGGGAAGAAGGUAAGUAUCUUCGGUUGCACUCCUCGGCUGUUUUCACGCUGUUGAAGUUGAUCAGGGAUGAUGGAGUGCAAGAGUCCCCUUCGUCGAUCAGGUCGCUAUGUCUGAGAGUCAACAAGAGUCCAGUUUUUUCAGAUUCCACGGUCGUUUUCUGAUUUAAUGAAGCGCACGCCUGGAUCUGCCUCUUCCGAAAGUAACACCCAUCACUUAUUUCAGC